CUGAGUUAUCACAACUCCAACCCAUGUGAACUAUACCACUGUUGCCUCGGCGGGAGGACGCCUACCCGGUACUUACCCUGUAGGCCAGCCCCGCCGGCGGAUUUUCAGACUCUUGUUUCUUUGUAACACUUCUGAGUAACAUUUUGAAAUAAGUCA
Molecule: unclassified non-coding RNA, 156 nt
Filed under: uncultured Xylariaceae
Lineage: Eukaryota; Fungi; Ascomycota; Sordariomycetes; Xylariales; Xylariaceae
Description: sequence contains ITS1
Source: RNAcentral